GGAAAAAUCAGUUUAAAUAAAUAAAUAUCUCUAUAUAUUCCAUAUUUUUGUUGAGAUAAUCCAGUGUAAAAUGGAAGUUGUGGAAAAAUCAGUUUUUAUAUAUAUAUUUAUAUGUAUGUAUGUAUGUAUAUGUAUAUAUUUUCCCCAUAAUUUUGGUGAGAAAAUCCAGUUUAAAAUGGAAGUUGUGGGAAAAUCAGUUUAAAAUAGUUGUUGGGUUUUUUUUGCCAUGUUUUUGGUUAGAAAAUCUAGUGUAAAAUGGAAGCUGUGGGAAAAUCAGUUUAAAAUAAUUGUUGGGGAGUUUUUUACCAUAUUUUUGGUGGGAAAAUCCAGUUUAAAAUGGAAAUUGCUGGAAAAUGCCUUUUAAAAUAGAAAUUUUGAAAAGGGAAAAGCCUGUUUAAAAUAGUUUUGGUGGGGGUUUUUUUUCAGAAAAAAAAAAUCAUAUUUAGAAUGGAUUUUUCUUUCAUUGUUUUGGUGGGAAAAUCCAUUUUAAAGUGGAAAUCAUGGGAAAAAGCCAGUUCAAAAUGGAAAUGUUUCCCUUAUUGUUUUGGUGCAAAAAAUACAGUUCAAUUUUUUUUUAUUUUUUAUUUUUUCUAAGAUGCAGCACAAAAGGGAAUUUUCCCCCCUUUUUUUUGUGGGAGAACCAGGCUUAAAAUUGACUUUUCCCCCCCAUUUUGGUGGAAAGAUCCAUUUAAAAUUUUAUUUCCCCCUGUUUUCUGUGGAAUUCACAAUUCACCUCUCACUAUCCCAAGGCUGUCAUUGGGACUUAAGGAUAUAAAAGGCCUUUUCCAAUGUAAACAAUUCCAUGCUUUAGGGAGCUGAAAAACAGAGGAGGAUUUAAAACACAGAGGGGAAAGGAGCUGAGGGAAAUAAUAAAAAUUUCUAUAAUCUGUGGGGUUUUGAGUCUUGAGGCAGAAUUUGAUUCCCUGAAGCUGUUGGAUUUGUUUUUCCUUAGGAAUGAUGUGGAAAACACAACGGGAACAGGCACGAGAAGAGUUCCCAGAAGUUAUUUAUGAGCAGCCUGGAAAGCAAAAUAUUUUCAGCUGGGGGCACUCAGGAACAGCGUGGACGUUCAUUUGGGAUGGAUUGGAAAUUAUCCAGAGGCUUAAUUUCCCAGUGGGAACAAAGCAACCCUUUUUCUCUGGAAAACUGAGCACCAGCACAGCACACACCUCCCUGGAAAUCCAGGCUGUUCUGGGCCAUAAUCCUGCGUGAAAAGGAAGUU
Molecule: long non-coding RNA, 1222 nt
Filed under: Parus major (Great Tit)
Lineage: Eukaryota; Metazoa; Chordata; Aves; Passeriformes; Paridae
Description: lncRNA (ENSPMJG00000012448.1)
Source: RNAcentral